This 720-nucleotide ribosomal RNA is filed under the name uncultured bacterium. RNAcentral describes it as "bacterial SSU rRNA". It matches the Rfam family "Bacterial small subunit ribosomal RNA", at positions 104 to 811 of the family's 1533-position model. The record is from RNAcentral.
GGGUGAGUAACACGUGGGCAACCUGCCCAAAAGAGGGGGAUAACACUUGGAAACAGGUGCUAAUACCGCAUAACCAUAGUUACCGCAUGGUAACUAUGUAAAAGGUGGCUAUGCUACCGCCUUUGGAUGGGCCCGCGGCGCAUUAGCUAGUUGGUGGGGUAAAGGCUUACCAAGGCAAUGAUGCGUAGCCGAACUGAGAGGUUGAUCGGCCACAUUGGGACUGAGACACGGCCCAAACUCCUACGGGAGGCAGCAGUAGGGAAUCUUCCACAAUGGGCGAAAGCCUGAUGGAGCAACGCCGCGUGGGUGAAGAAGGUCUUCGGAUCGUAAAACCCUGUUGUUAGAGAAGAAAGUGCGUGAGAGUAACUGUUCACGUUUCGACGGUAUCUAACCAGAAAGCCACGGCUAACUACGUGCCAGCAGCCGCGGUAAUACGUAGGUGGCAAGCGUUAUCCGGAUUUAUUGGGCGUAAAGGGAACGCAGGCGGUCUUUUAAGUCUGAUGUGAAAGCCUUCGGCUUAACCGGAGUAGUGCAUUGGAAACUGGGAGACUUGAGUGCAGAAGAGGAGAGUGGAACUCCAUGUGUAGCGGUGAAAUGCGUAGAUAUAUGGAAGAACACCAGUGGCGAAAGCGGCUCUCUGGUCUGUAACUGACGCUGAGGUUCGAAAGCGUGGGUAGCAAACAGGAUUAGAUACCCUGGUAGUCCACGCCGUAAACGAUG